UUACGGCCACAUCGCGUUGAAACACCAGUUCUCGUAUGAUCACUGAAGUUAAACAACGUAGAGCCUGGUCAGCACCGAGAUGGAUGACCGCUUGAGAAUACCAGGUGGCGU
Non-coding RNA from Acanthosepion pharaonis, 111 nucleotides. NCBI's taxonomy places the organism in Eukaryota, Metazoa, Mollusca, Cephalopoda, Sepiida, Sepiidae. The record is from the annotation of a GenBank genome assembly.